CGCUCCCCGACAUAUAAAAACAUGAGGAGUCCUGCCUGCCCAGUGACUAGAGGUUAAACGGCCGCGGUAUCUUGACCGUGCGAAGGUAGCAUAAUCAUUUGUCUUCUAAAUAAAGACUAGUAUGAAUGGCAAGACGGAACUAAACUGUCUCUUUUUCAAACCCCGAAUUUCACUCCCCCGUGAAGAGGCGAGGCUAAAAUCGUUAGACGAGAAGACCCUGUCGAGCUUUCAGCAAAAACUUAACCACCAAAAAACUAAAAAGCCCUAACUUUUACACCUUAGACAUAAUGGCUCCUUAGGAUUAAGUCAAAGCUUUGGUUGGGGCAACCGCGGAGUAAAAAGAACCUCCACUAAAAAAUAUACACUAUUAUUAAAAGUUACUACUUUUUAAUCAUUAAUGAUUAGAAUGAUCCAUUUAGAUGACCAAAGGAACAAGUUACCGCAGGGAUAACAGCGUUAUCUUUUCUAAGAGUUCACAUUGACGAAAAGGUUUGCGACCUCGAUGUUGGAUCGGGACAUCCUAAGGGUGCAGAAGCUUUUAAGGGUUGGUCUGUUCGACCAUUAAAGUCCUACG
RNAcentral lists this ribosomal RNA (574 nucleotides) under Psammechinus miliaris (sand urchin). RNAcentral describes it as "partial 16S ribosomal RNA". It matches the Rfam family "Bacterial large subunit ribosomal RNA", at positions 1816 to 2600 of the family's 2925-position model. The record is from RNAcentral. Lineage: Eukaryota; Metazoa; Echinodermata; Echinoidea; Camarodonta; Parechinidae.